Molecule: unclassified non-coding RNA, 978 nt
Filed under: Hevea brasiliensis (rubber tree)
Lineage: Eukaryota; Viridiplantae; Streptophyta; Magnoliopsida; Malpighiales; Euphorbiaceae
Source: RNAcentral
AAAGUGUCAGAGUAAUCAACUCCAAAUAUUUGUGCAUAACCUUUUACUACAAGCCUUGCUUUGUGCUUGUUCACAGAACCAUCAGGAUUUAACUUGGUUCUGAAUACCCACUUGAUACCUAUGACAUUUCUAUCAUGAGGUUUUUGUACAAGCUCCCAAGUCUGGUUUUUUUCAAUCAUGGACAGCUCCUCUUGCAUUGCAGCCAUCCAUUUUGUGUUCUUCUUGGCCUCCUCAAAGCUUGCAGGCUCACAAACUGCUACAUUGCAUCUCUGAUAUAUGUCAGAAAGCAAUCUAGUGCCUCUAAUAGGUGGAUCAUCCAUCGUUUCUUCUGGUAUUAGUUGGGGAUUGAGAUUUUGAAUCUCCUUUGAAUCUUUCCAACUCCAUUGCUUGUCCUCCAUGAAAUGCACAUCCCUGCUUACAAGGAUUUUUUGUUUUUGAGGCUGAUAAAUUUUGUAAGCUUUAGAGAUAGUGCUAUAGCCAAUGAAUAUUCCAGGUUCUGCCCUUUGAUCAAGUUUGUCACGCUUGACCUGAGGUACAUGUGAGUAACAUAAACAACCAAAUAUCUUAAAAAAAUCCAAAGAAGGUUUGAAACCAAACCAAGCUUCAAAAGGUGUUUGAUUGUGCAAGGCUCGUGUUGGCAGCCUGUUUUGAAUGAAAACUGCAGUAUUUGCAGCUUCAGCCCAAAAUCUUUUUGGCAAGAUUUUUUGAUGAAGCAUGCACCUAGCCAUCUCCAUGAUUGAACGAUUUUUCCUUUCACUCACCCCAUUUUGUUGAGGAGUGUAAGGAGCAGUAAGUUGAUGUUCAAUUCCAGCUUCAGUGCAAAAUUGUUCAAAUUGAUCUGAAAGGUAUUCUUUCCCAUUAUCAGACCUUAGAACUUGAAUAUUACAGCUGCUUUGAUUCUCUACAUGGGCUUUAAAUCUCCAGAACAUUUGUGCCACCUCAGACUUGUAUUUAAGAAAAUAAAUCCAACACAUUCUG